Molecule: ribosomal RNA, 468 nt
Filed under: uncultured bacterium
Lineage: Bacteria
Description: partial 16S ribosomal RNA
Rfam family: Bacterial small subunit ribosomal RNA
Source: RNAcentral
GACGAACGCUGGCGGCGUGCUUAACACAUGCAAGUCGAACGGAAGGGCCCUGCUUUUGUGGGGUGCUCGAGUGGCGAACGGGUGAGUAACACGUGAGUAACCUGCCCUUGACUUUGGGAUAACUUCAGGAAACUGGGGCUAAUACCGGAUAGGAGCUCCUGCUGCAUGGUGGGGGUUGGAAAGUUUCGGCGGUUGGGGAUGGACUCGCGGCUUAUCAGCUUGUUGGUGGGGUAGUGGCUUACCAAGGCUUUGACGGGUAGCCGGCCUGAGAGGGUGACCGGCCACAUUGGGACUGAGAUACGGCCCAGACUCCUACGGGAGGCAGCAGUGGGGAAUAUUGCCCAAUGGGCGGAAGCCUGAUGCAGCAACGCCGCGUGCGGGAUGACGGCCUUCGGGUUGUAAACCGCUUUCGCCUGUGACGAAGCGUGAGUGACGGUAAUGGGUAAAGAAGCACCGGCUAACUACGUG